GACGAAGGAUGCAAGCGUUAUCCGGAUUCAUUGGGUUUAAAGGGUGCGUAGGUGGCUUGCUAAGUCAGUGGUGAAAUCGUCCGGCCCAACCGGACGCCUGCCAAUGAUACUGGUGAGCUCGAGUGCGUGAGGGGUGGGGGGAACGAGCAGUGUAGCGGUGAAAUGCGUAGAUAUUGCUCGGAAGGCCAAAGCCGAAGGGACCCCACUGGUACGUAACUGACACUGAGGCACGAAAGCGUGGGGAGCAAACAGG
RNAcentral lists this ribosomal RNA (253 nucleotides) under uncultured bacterium. RNAcentral describes it as "partial 16S ribosomal RNA". It matches the Rfam family "Bacterial small subunit ribosomal RNA", at positions 524 to 776 of the family's 1533-position model. The record is from RNAcentral.